CCUACGGGGGGCAGCAGUGGGGAAUAUUGGACAAUGGGGGCAACCCUGAUCCAGCCAUGCCGCGUGUGUGAAGAAGGCCCUCGGGUUGUAAAGCACUUUCAGUGAGGAAGAAUGCCUGGUGGUUAAUACCCAUCAGGAAAGACAUCACUCACAGAAGAAGCACCGGCUAACUCCGUGCCAGCAGCCGCGGUAAUACGGAGGGUGCGAGCGUUAAUCGGAAUUACUGGGCGUAAAGCGCGCGUAGGUGGCUUGAUAAGCCGGUUGUGAAAGCCCCGGGCUCAACCUGGGAACGGCAUCCGGAACUGUCAAGCUAGAGUGCAGGAGAGGAAGGUAGAAUUCCCGGUGUAGCGGUGAAAUGCGUAGAGAUCGGGAGGAAUACCAGUGGCGAAGGCGGCCUUCUGGACUGACACUGACACUGAGGUGCGAAAGCGUGGGUAGCAAACAGGAUUAGAUACCCUAGUAGUC
RNAcentral lists this ribosomal RNA (465 nucleotides) under Vreelandella stevensii. RNAcentral describes it as "partial 16S ribosomal RNA". It matches the Rfam family "Bacterial small subunit ribosomal RNA", at positions 338 to 795 of the family's 1533-position model. The record is from RNAcentral. Lineage: Bacteria; Pseudomonadati; Pseudomonadota; Gammaproteobacteria; Oceanospirillales; Halomonadaceae.